Cephus cinctus (wheat stem sawfly) is the source of this 764-nucleotide long non-coding RNA. RefSeq lists it as uncharacterized. The transcript has 3 exons. The record is from RefSeq and is a predicted model, not a curated record. Lineage: Eukaryota; Metazoa; Arthropoda; Insecta; Hymenoptera; Cephidae.
UGCGAAGAUUUGGAAUUCGUAAACUUCAUCAAAGUUUUAAGGUUAGAAUGUUUGCCCGUUUUCUGAAAAAUAUGGUACACGGGGAACCGGGCAUCGUUUGACAAUUUGAUAUCGGUGUGGGCCCACGAGACAGCCCAACUAAACGUGAACACGAACAUAAACCUUAGCGGGCAGAGGUUCUCCACUACUCACCGCUCGUCCAAAGCAACCCUCAGAACGAGACAGGAAAUUAUAGAACUCAGUCUACUCUGAAAAAGAUUUCUGAACGUACCCCAAGGAGUUUGGUUUUCCGAGUUCUUCCGUCUAGUAUGACUGACGUGAUUAUUUCUCAUUAGAUACGACGAUUGUUAGCGGCACUUGCAGAAAGUUGGGAAACAAAUCCUAAAACGGUAUCGGUGAGACAGAGAUAAGUAGGGAGAUUUGAACUGGCACCACCUAAAAUUACAUUCUCAAGCAACUUCAAAUAACAAUUAAAAUUUGAUCUUCUCUUGGCCAGAUUGCAAACUUUUACAAUAUGGUUGAUUCUGGAAAACACCUAUGACAGGUGCGUUCGACGGUGAGCCGAGCUCGCUGAGAAAAUAGUUUCUCCGUUUUUGAAUGCUGGACACUUAUUCGGAUGCAUGAAGAUAAAAAUAUUCGUAAAGAAGCCCGGUAGUGACAAUUGAUUUCCUGGCACUUGGUCUUCUAUGAGGGCAUAAAGCCAAAAAGAAAUAAGAAGUAGGAAGAGAUAAGAAUAACAAAUAUUAGUUGCACAGUAAUAUUGA